CUGCCUUAGGGUAGGAAAGGUGGCCUCUUAACAAUGCUGCCGCUUAUGGAUGAGCCCGCGUCUGAUUAGCUAGUUGGUGGGGUAAAGGCCUACCAAGGCGACGAUCAGUAGCCGGCCUGAGAGGGUGAACGGCCACACUGGGACUGAGACACGGCCCAGACUCCUACGGGAGGCAGCAGUGGGGAAUAUUGCGCAAUGGGGGAAACCCUGACGCAGCGACGCCGCGUGAGCGAAGAAGGCCUUAGGGUUGUAAAGCUCUGUUUUAGGGGACGAAUGUCGUGGGGAGUAAUAUGACCUACGAAUGACGGUACCCUAAGAGGAAGCCCCGGCUAACUACGUGCCAGCAGCCGCGGUAAGACGUAGGGGGCGAGCGUUGUCCGGAAUUACUGGGCGUAAAGAGCACGUAGGCGGGAACCUAAGUCAGGUGUGAAAGACCGUGGCUCAACCACGGGGUGGCAUUUGAAACUGGGUUUCUUGAGGGCAGGAGAGGAAAGCAGAAUUCCUGGUGUAGCGGUGAAAUGCGUAGAAAUCAGGAGGAAUACCAGUGGCGAAGGCGGCUUUCUGGACUGACCCUGACGCUGAGGUGCGAAAGCGUGGGUAGCAAACAGGAUUAGAUACCCUGGUAGUCCACGCCGUAAACGAUGGAUACUAGGUGUGGGA
RNAcentral lists this ribosomal RNA (660 nucleotides) under uncultured bacterium. RNAcentral's name for it is "bacterial SSU rRNA". It matches the Rfam family "Bacterial small subunit ribosomal RNA", at positions 173 to 827 of the family's 1533-position model. The record is from RNAcentral.